Molecule: non-coding RNA, 2474 nt
Organism: Nomia melanderi (Alkali bee)
Lineage: Eukaryota; Metazoa; Arthropoda; Insecta; Hymenoptera; Halictidae
Source: RefSeq, a predicted model, not a curated record
AGUUAUGAUACUUACUAACAUAUUUAAUAACUGUUUAUAAAUGUGAAAAUUUAAUAAAAUUAAUCAUUUUUAAAUUUAUUUAAAUUAUAAAUCUAUUGUAAAAACAAUAAUAUAUAUGUAGAAUAAUAAAGUAUAAAUUAUAGUGAAGGAGAACUAUUUCCUGGUACAUCACGACGCCAUGACAUUUGUUUCACAGAUCCCCUUCGGAUCGUGAAACGAGUGUAGCGUGCUUCUGGUUCAUUGUGGUCAUUAGUAACGCGAUUUUAUCGAAAUAUAUAUUAUAUUUUCAAGUGAAAAUAGUGAAUAUUGUUUAAGAAUGGCUUAUCGUGAUCGUGAACGUGGUGAUAGAAGAGGAGGCGGAGCACGUGGAGGGGGCCGUUUUGGUGGUCGAGAUGGAAGUGGUGGGGGUAGUAGAUUUGGUAGCAGUUCAAAUAGAGAUGGUAAUAGCUUUGGUAACUUCAAAAAUCGACAACCUGGUGAACGUCUACGAAAACCAAGAUGGGACAUGGCCACAUUGCAACCAUUUAGGAAAGACUUUUAUCAGCCUCAUCCUAAUGUUACAACUCGAAGUCCACAUGUAGUUGAGGCUUAUCGUUCAGAUAAAGAGAUUACUGUAAAAGGUACAAAUGUACCAGGACCGAACAUAUUCUUUGAAGAAGGCGGAUUUCCAGAUUACGUUUUGAAUGAAAUCCGUAGACAAGGAUUUGGGGAACCAACUGCAAUACAAGCACAAGGCUGGCCCAUUGCUUUAUCUGGACGCGAUAUGGUUGGAAUUGCACAAACAGGAUCUGGAAAAACAUUAGCAUAUAUUUUACCAGCAAUUGUACAUAUAAAUCAUCAACCUAGAUUGAACAGAAACGAUGGACCUAUAGCUCUUAUUUUAGCACCUACACGAGAACUUGCACAACAGAUUCAGCAAGUUGCCUCAGAUUUUGGGAUUUCAUCGCAAGUAAGAAAUACUUGUAUUUUUGGUGGAGCUCCGAAAGGUCCUCAAGCUCGUGACCUUGAACGUGGUGUUGAAAUCUGUAUAGCAACACCUGGCCGUCUUAUCGAUUUUCUAGAACGUGGUACAACAAAUUUACGUAGGUGUACAUACUUAGUACUAGACGAAGCUGAUAGAAUGCUUGACAUGGGCUUUGAGCCACAAAUUAGGAAAAUUGUUGAACAAAUCCGACCUGAUCGACAAACCCUAAUGUGGUCUGCAACAUGGCCAAAGGAGGUUCGGAAUCUCGCAGAAGAAUUUUUAACCGAUUACAUACAAAUUAAUAUUGGCUCUUUACAACUGGCAGCUAAUCACAACAUCCUUCAAAUUGUUGAUGUAUGUGAAGAAUAUGAAAAAGAGGGUAAACUUAUGAAAUUGUUAGAAGAAAUUUCAAACGAGCCAGAAAAUAAGACAAUUAUUUUUGUUGAAACUAAAAGAAAAGUGGACGAUAUAACACGCGCAAUUAAUAGAUAUGGAUGGCAAGCGAUUGGCAUCCAUGGAGAUAAGAGUCAACAGGAAAGAGACUAUGUAUUAAAUCAAUUCCGGAAUAGCAGAUCUGCCAUACUAGUAGCUACAGAUGUUGCAGCAAGAGGAUUAGAGGCACAUGCGACGGAGUUUUAUCAAUGAUAAGAACUCUGGAGAGCUUGCUUUGGAAUAUAUAAUUGAAUGGGACGUGACUGCUGGUCUCUGUCCCCGCGCAACAAGCUAACCUAACGCUGUGCCUCGGCCCACCGUGCCACUUGAAAAAACACACUCUCACUCUGUACCUGCGACGGUCCAAAGUAUGGAAGUCAUAGUGUUAGGGCAUCUAGCAUACAAGGACUACUGAACAGGAUAGAUAUAUUUUACCACUCUCUUAGAUUAAAAGGAUAGGGAAUGGCAUUACAUUGUUUUGCAGUGGUUGUGAAAUUACAUUCCUCUGUAAAUGUCAACAAAGUUUGAUCUGUAUAUAUAUAUAUCCACGCGAACAAUCUAAUAGAAUUUUUAACAACUUGUUACAACAUUUUUACGAUAUAAUGGUAGACUUUCAUAAAAAUUUGUAAACUCUCAACAUUGCAAAACAAUCGUUGAUGUUACUCGUGCAAUGGAAUGCAUGUGGGGUUGAUCGGAAAGUGCACAUGGUGCUCGUCCAAUGUCCCAACCUCACCGAAGCAAUGCGCAAGGACCAAAUUUUGAAAGACCAGCACAGAUCCAUACUUUGGUGCGGGAGAGAAGGGUGUGAAGUCACUAAGAGUAAAUAUACAGCUCGCUAACGCAUAAUGCGAGAAUUCCAUGAGAACCAUCUGAGCUCUGAUUCCUCUACAUUUCCAAAAAUGUAUUUACGUUUCCAGCUUUUGGCAACAACAGAUGUGGAAGAUGUUAAGUUUGUGAUAAAUUUGGACUACCCGUCCAAUUCUGAAGACUAUGUACACCGUAUUGGACGUACAGGACGGUCACAGCGUACAGGAACUGCGUACGCAUUUUUCACGCCAGGAAACGCACAUAAGGCUAG